This 459-nucleotide ribosomal RNA is filed under the name uncultured bacterium. RNAcentral's name for it is "partial 16S ribosomal RNA". It matches the Rfam family "Bacterial small subunit ribosomal RNA", at positions 338 to 795 of the family's 1533-position model. The record is from RNAcentral.
CCUACGGGUGGCAUCAGUGAGGAAUAUUGGUCAAUGGUCGGAAGACUGAACCAGCCAAGUCGCGUGCAGGAGGAAGGUACUGCGGGUCGUAAACCGCUUUUGUCCGGGGACAAAAGCGGGGACGUGUCACCGGAUGAGUGUACCUGAAGAAUAAGCAUCGGCUAACUCCGUGCCAGCAGCCGCGGUAAUACGGAGGAUGAGAGCGUUAUCCGGAUUUAUUGGGUUUAAAGGGUGCGCAGGCGGUCUGUUAAGUCAGCGGUCAAAGCCCGGGGCUCAACCCCGGCCCGCCGUUGAAACUGGCAGUCUCGAGUUGGAGAGAGGUAUGCGGAAUUCGUGGUGUAGCGGUGAAAUGCAUAGAUAUCGCGCAGAACUCCGAUUGCGAAGGCAGCAUGCCGGCUCGACACUGACGCUGAGGCACGAAGGCGUGGGUAUCGAACAGGAUUAGAUACCCGUGUAGUC